Molecule: long non-coding RNA, 344 nt
Organism: Tympanuchus pallidicinctus (lesser prairie-chicken)
Lineage: Eukaryota; Metazoa; Chordata; Aves; Galliformes; Phasianidae
Exons: 3
Source: RefSeq, a predicted model, not a curated record
CUCAGAGCAAAGGCAAUGCCCCAGGACCUGCAGCAUCCUUCCCAUGCAGCACUCAGAGCACAGUGGGCGGCUGGUCAGGUUCAGUCAGUGAGCUCGCCUUUGAAAAGUACCCCAGGACAGAGCCAGAAGCUCUGGCAGAAGCCCUCUCCAUGCCAUGUGCCCUACUCAGGGAGCUGCAGAAGGAGACAGAGGUACCAGAGGUGAUGCACUAUCCCAUGCAGGAUGCACUGCCCUGAGCCACCCCAGGAUUUGGCACGCUCCAGCUCUUCCCAACACAUAUCACUUCUUUCAAGCUGUCCAUUGUGGUGCAGGAAACAGUCCUUCAGAGAUGGCAGAAAUACGAG